CUUUUGGCAAUGAAUCAAAUGAAAUCAGUAUUUUGAAUUAUGCAUUUUUAUGUAUGUCAAGCAGAAUACUUCUAAAGGCAGUAAGGAUAACAAGACUGUUUUGAUACAUACAAAAAUGCAAAAUCUGGGACUCUGAAUGGCCGUGUGGUCUCAGCUACAACAUAUUGUGUUUUGUCCAAUAAAUUCAAUGGUUUUUUAAAAAGCUUGACUUCUACAGCAAAGCACAUUUUAAUUAAACUGACCCAGAAGUCAAGAGAAGGAAAACAUUUGCUGCAAAGCUCAAUCAUAGCUGCUUGUGUUUGUAAUUAUAAAUAAUGCAAGUCAGCAAGAUGCAUCCAAACUUACAAGAACCUUAAAACAUCCCUAAUACGUGAAGACAUUUAGUUCAAACAUAGGGUUAGGGUCCUGGUCAGGGUGUGAGUUGGGGGGUCAGGGUCAAGGUCAUAAGGUCAGGGUUAGGGUUGGGGCGGUGGUUAGGGUUAUGGUCAGCGUCAGCAUCAGGGUAUCAGUAUCAUAAGGUCAGGUUCUGGGUUAGGGUUAGAGCCUGGGUUAGAGUUAGGGUCAAGUUCAUGGUCAGUGUUAGUGUUACGAUCAGGUUUAGGGCUAGACUUAGGGUCAGGGUCAGGGUCUUGGUCACAGUGUCACAGUGAGAGUCAGCGAUACAGUGAGGGUUAGGGUCAGGGUUCAUGUCAGGAUCACUGGUAGGGUCAGUAUUAAAGUCAGUGUUAGGGUCAGGGUUAGUGUCAGGGUUAUUGGUAGGGUCAGUGUUAGGUAGAGGAUCAGGGUUAGUGUUAGGGUCACAGGAUGAAUGUUAUGGAGCUCCUAGACACUGGGACAGGUUAUGAAGAACACUGGGCUGAGGUGAUCUGCAUCUCCUGCAAAUCUCAUUGCAGCCAUGGGUGUCUGGGACCCCACCCACCCAGCAUGCCUUGGCAGAAGACCCUGCCUUGACCUCAGAGAAGCCCUCUGAGAACAGCUCUUUGUAGAAAGCAGUGCCUGGAUUAAACCUGCUUCUCCCAGGAAGCAUCACCUAUCUAGGUUCAUGCUGUGAGGCACAGAAACACAGAUCUAUCCACCCUUGGCUUUGGCCCCAGGCAUCUCAGAGGCCAGAGCCGUGCUCCACAGCCGCCUGUCUACCCAGUUUCAUUGUCUGCCUUCUCUUCCAAACAGUGAGCACUCCCUGAUUUCUAUUCAAUGCUGGUAGACCUGUUCUAUCUCAAGCGUAAGAAUACAUGUCUUGGCUGGGCACGGUGGCUCAUGCCUGUAAUCCCAACACUCUGGGAGGCUGAGGUGGGUGGAUCACCUGAGGUCAGGAGUUCAAGACCAGCCUAGCCAACAUGGUGAAACCCAGUCUCUACUAAAAAUACAAAAAUUAGCCAUGUGUGGUGGCGGGUGUCUGUAAUCCCAGCUAUUUGGGAGGCUGAGGCAGGAGAAUCACUUGAACCUGGGAGGUGGAGGUUGCAGUGAGCCGAGAUCAUGUCAUUGCACUCCAGCCUGGGCAACAGAGUGAGAUUCCAUCUCAAAACAAACAAACAAACAAACAACACAUGCCUUGGAUAAAGGGAUUGGCCCGUCAAUUAUGGUGGGCCAUUAUUACGGAAUCAUUAUUCCAUGAUUCCAUAUUUGUGGCUUUAUUUUUCUCCUCCUCUGUUCGAUUUUCUUAAACUUUUAAAAACUUGUUUGGCCUCUUUCAGAGAAGACCUGGAAAGGCAAAAAUUGAGUUAAGGACGCCUUCCUUGGGCAGAGAUGGUUUUGCCCAGUGGGGCUACUCAGGGGUUGACCACUCGAGGUCCUGAGUGGGGUCAAGCCAUCUGUUUUGGUUUCUAAGAGGGAACCUUGCUGCAGUGCUCCUAGAGUGGAAGAACUUUGUGGGGCCUGCUGGGCAGGUGGCCUUGGGCAGCCUGAGCUCCCUUAGAGGGUCUCUGCUUCCUGUCUGUCACAAGAUCAGGCUUAAACCAAGGGCCUCUGCUUCUCAUCAACUGGGUUCCUAAUCCACCUGGCUCUGUGCUCUGUGCAGGCAUUGGCUGCUCAGGAAGGAGGUGAGCUGGGCUUUGAAAAAAAUGAGAGCCACAGUGGGGGGCAACCCUGGCCAGAGCCUCCUGUGGCAGCCACAGAAAACACCAUGCACUUCACAGGGAUGUUCUGACCCACGAGGCAUGGCGGACCCGGAUGGUGCCUCCACACAGGGCCUGUCCAGCAGUCCGCAGUGAGGCCACUGAGGGUCUCCUGCCCCUAAGAGGGGAGCCAGGAGAAGCAGGGGCCCAGCCUGUGAGAGCUAUGGCCACCAGAUGGCCAGCCUGGGCCUGAAGCCAGAUAGCCGCUUACAUUGUCAUCCCUCCCAGCCCUCAGCUGCUCAAGGAGGCACCCAGGCCUGGCUAGUGCCAUGCCCAGAGCCCAACCCAAAGUCCUGGCAUGGGGUCUGAAGGGCAGUGGCCAGGAACUGACCAGCUCAUGCCCACCUGGACAAGCAGGAGACAGCCUGGAGGGGCCGGGGCUCAGGGCUGUGACUGCAGGAGCCAGCACCUGAGGUCAGGCAGAUGUGGGUGUGAAGCCCACUUCUCUGCAUCUGCCGGGGCCUGAAGACGGGCAUUGGGUGUCAGAGUCUUCGCGAUGAAUUAGGGAGAGUGCCCAGACCCCCCAUCAGGAGGAGCAGGACAGAAGACCGGGCCUCAGACAUGUAGCACCCCCAGAAGGCUGCAGGAGGGCAAAGGGCAACUGGGGCGGGUAGCCGGAGGGGCUCCUGCGCUACCUGGAGGAGCCCGCAUCUCCCCUCCUCUGCCUUCUCCGCUGGACGCCCUGCUCCCGCCCCCGGGCCCGACACUCCUUCCGCGCCGAUCGCCCCGCCCAGAUCCCAACGCGGGUGUCUACAGACCCCAGUCCCAGGCCGACCACUUCGCCCGGACACGCCCUCUGUCCCCAC
Molecule: long non-coding RNA, 2920 nt
Filed under: Homo sapiens (human)
Lineage: Eukaryota; Metazoa; Chordata; Mammalia; Primates; Hominidae
Description: HSALNT0023239
Source: RNAcentral